RNAcentral lists this long non-coding RNA (415 nucleotides) under Vulpes vulpes (red fox). Its description in RNAcentral is "lncRNA (ENSVVUG00000024262.1)". Lineage: Eukaryota; Metazoa; Chordata; Mammalia; Carnivora; Canidae. The record is from RNAcentral.
AUAAUAUCCUAGAUAUCCAUCUAAAGAAGAAAGAAUAUAUAACAUACGUUGUGAAUUUUCUGCAACUAUUGCUACAUGUAACAACAAUGGUGAAUCUACAUUCUACCAUAGAAAUACCAAGAUUUUAAAAGGAAGCCUAAGAAACCAAGAAGGAUCACCAGAGGAACUAAAGAAUAUAAAUAUGGAAGCAAUAAUUUGUCUAUCAUGAGUGAAUAAGAGAAUUACUGAAAUUAAAAGUUGGGGCAGAAUUUUAAAGGCUACUCUUUUUCCUCUGGGUUCCUGAUUCUGCAGAGGAAAGGAAGAACAUACUGCAUCAGUGUGAAUGUUCUGGAAUGUGCUCAAGCUGCACAACUAAUAUUUCAUGUUGAUUGCACUUGGCAAUAGCAAAAUACAGGGAAAAAUAAAGCAAUGAAAG